UUUAAUUUGCAUGCGCGGCUAUACAUGCAGUCGACGCGUUGGCCCAAUUGAUUGAUGGUGCUUGCACCUGAUUGAUUUUGGUCGCCAACGAGUGGCGGACGGGUGAGUAACACGUAGGUAACCUGCCCAGAAGCGGGGGACAACAUUUGGAAACAGAUGCUAAUACCGCAUAACAGCGUUGUUCGCAUGAACAACGCUUAAAAGAUGGCUUCUCGCUAUCACUUCUGGAUGGACCUGCGGUGCAUUAGCUUGUUGGUGGGGUAACGGCCUACCAAGGCGAUGAUGCAUAGCCGAGUUGAGAGACUGAUCGGCCACAAUGGGACUGAGACACGGCCCAUACUCCUACGGGAGGCAGCAGUAGGGAAUCUUCCACAAUGGGCGCAAGCCUGAUGGAGCAACACCGCGUGAGUGAAGAAGGGUUUCGGCUCGUAAAGCUCUGUUGUUAAAGAAGAACACGUAUGAGAGUAACUGUUCAUACGUUGACGGUAUUUAACCAGAAAGUCACGGCUAACUACGUGCCAGCAGCCGCGGUAAUACGUAGGUGGCAAGCGUUAUCCGGAUUUAUUGGGCGUAAAGAGAGUGCAGGCGGUUUUCUAAGUCUGAUGUGAAAGCCUUCGGCUUAACCGGAGAAGUGCAUCGGAAACUGGAUAACUUGAGUGCAGAAGAGGGUAGUGGAACUCCAUGUGUAGCGGUGGAAUGCGUAGAUAUAUGGAAGAACACCAGUGGCGAAGGCGGCUACCUGGUCUGCAACUGACGCUGAGACUCGAAAGCAUGGGUAGCGAACAGGAUUAGAUACCCUGGUAGUCCAUGCCGUAAACGAUGAGUGCUAGGUGUUGGAGGGUUUCCGCCCUUCAGUGCCGGAGCUAACGCAUUAAGCACUCCGCCUGGGGAGUACGACCGCAAGGUUGAAACUCAAAGGAAUUGACGGGGGCCCGCACAAGCGGUGGAGCAUGUGGUUUAAUUCGAAGCUACGCGAAGAACCUUACCAGGUCUUGACAUCUUGCGCCAACCCUAGAGAUAGGGCGUUUCCUUCGGGAACGCAAUGACAGGUGGUGCAUGGUCGUCGUCAGCUCGUGUCGUGAGAUGUUGGGUUAAGUCCCGCAACGAGCGCAACCCUUGUUACUAGUUGCCAGCAUUAAGUUGGGCACUCUAGUGAGACUGCCGGUGACAAACCGGAGGAAGGUGGGGACGACGUCAGAUCAUCAUGCCCCUUAUGACCUGGGCUACACACGUGCUACAAUGGACGGUACAACGAGUCGCGAACUCGCGAGGGCAAGCAAAUCUCUUAAAACCGUUCUCAGUUCGGACUGCAGGCUGCAACUCGCCUGCACGAAGUCGGAAUCGCUAGUAAUCGCGGAUCAGCAUGCCGCGGUGAAUACGUUCCCGGGCCUUGUACACACCGCCCGUCACACCAUGAGAGUUUGUAACACCCAAAGUCGGUGGGGUAACCUUUAGGAGCCAGCCGCCUAAGUGACAAUUGC
RNAcentral lists this ribosomal RNA (1481 nucleotides) under Limosilactobacillus fermentum. RNAcentral's name for it is "bacterial SSU rRNA". It matches the Rfam family "Bacterial small subunit ribosomal RNA". Lineage: Bacteria; Bacillati; Bacillota; Bacilli; Lactobacillales; Lactobacillaceae. The record is from RNAcentral.